This 599-nucleotide ribosomal RNA is filed under the name uncultured archaeon. Its description in RNAcentral is "bacterial SSU rRNA". It matches the Rfam family "Archaeal small subunit ribosomal RNA", at positions 88 to 691 of the family's 1478-position model. The record is from RNAcentral.
GCUCAGUAACACGUGGACAAUUUACCCUUGGGACCAGGAUAACCCCUGGGAAACUGGGGCUAAUACUGGAUGGAGCACCGGCUGCUGGAAUGCGCGAUGCUCGAAAGCUGAGGCGCCCAAGGAUAGGUCUGCGGCUGAUUAGGUUGUUGUUGAUGUAACGGAUCAACAAGCCCGCGAUCGGUACGGGUUGUGAGAGCAAUAGCCCGGAGAUGGGUUCUGAGAAAAGAACCCAGGUCCUACGGGACGCAUCAGGCGCGAAAACUUUACAAUGUGCGAAAGCGCGAUAAGGGAACUCUGAGUGCCUCCUAAGGAGGCUGUUCAGGUGUCUAAAAAGCAUCUGGAGUAAGGGCUGGGCAAGACCGGUGCCAGCCGCCGCGGUAACACCGGCAGCUCAAGUGGUAGCCAUGCUUAUUGGGUCUAAAGCGUCCGUAGCCGGCUGAGUAAGUUCCUUGGGAAAUUUGACCGCUUAACGGUUAAGCUAUCAGGGAAUACUGCUUGGCUUGGGACCGGGAGAGGUCAGAGGUACUCCAGGGGUAGGGGUGAAAUCUAUUAAUCCUUGGGGGACCACCGGUAGCGAAGGCGUCUGACCAGACCGGGUC